This is an unclassified non-coding RNA of Mesocricetus auratus (golden hamster), 318 nucleotides long. Its record names the gene 7SK. It matches the Rfam family "7SK RNA". From Rfam's summary of the family: 7SK was discovered as an abundant small nuclear RNA in the mid-70s but a possible function has only recently been suggested. Two independent studies have found that 7SK RNA binds the CDK9/cyclin T complex (known as elongation factor P-TEFb). P-TEFb activates transcription by phosphorylating the C-terminal domain of RNA polymerase II. The record is from Ensembl. NCBI's taxonomy places the organism in Eukaryota, Metazoa, Chordata, Mammalia, Rodentia, Cricetidae.
GCAUGUGAGAGUGAUCUGGCUGUGACAUCUGUCACCGCACUGAUCUUCAGGGUUGAUUCGGCUGAUCUGGCUGGGUAGGCGGGUGUCCCCUUCCCCCCUCACCGCUCCAUGUGCGUCCCUCCCAAAGCUGCGCUUCUCCUGGGCAAAUUGAACUUUAUAGCUCACAAUUUCCCUUUACUUGAUUGUGACUGAGACACUCUUGUUUUGGUUACCUUAGAAGUUAUAGCAUCAAUUAAUACAAAGUCCAAGCUUAUCAAUAUUUAUAAUUUCAUUCAGAGAAUAACAGGUGCCUUAGGCUACUGUAGAGAACCUUCUUUA